AUACGUAGGGGGCAAGCGUUGUCCGGAAUGAUUGGGCGUAAAGGGCGCGUAGGCGGCCUUGUAAGUCCGAUGUGAAAUUCCUGCUUUUAAGGUAGGAAUUGCAUUGGAAACUGCGGGGCUUGAGUGCAGGAGAGGUAAGUGGAAUUCCCGGUGUAGCGGUGAAAUGCGUAGAGAUCGGGAGGAACACCAGUGGCGAAGGCGACUUACUGGACUGUAACUGACGCUGAGGCGCGAAAGUGUGGGGAGCAAACAGGAUUAGAUACCCUGGUAGUCCACACUGUAAACGAUGAAUGCUAGGUGUAGGAGGUAUCGACCCCUUCUGUGCCGGAGUCAACACAAUAAGCAUUCCGCCUGGGGAGUACGGCCGCAAGGUUGAA
RNAcentral lists this ribosomal RNA (377 nucleotides) under uncultured bacterium. Its description in RNAcentral is "bacterial SSU rRNA". It matches the Rfam family "Bacterial small subunit ribosomal RNA", at positions 523 to 898 of the family's 1533-position model. The record is from RNAcentral.